Long non-coding RNA from Zalophus californianus (California sea lion), 475 nucleotides. RefSeq lists it as uncharacterized. The record is from RefSeq and is a predicted model, not a curated record. The transcript has 3 exons. NCBI's taxonomy places the organism in Eukaryota, Metazoa, Chordata, Mammalia, Carnivora, Otariidae.
GAAAAGGCUUUACUUCACGUCUGUGUUUUUGGGGAAAUUGAGGCACGGAGCUGAGAAGGAAUUUACUCGGGAUCAGAGGACGUCUCUUAAGACAAAACAGGAACGAAAGUUUAAGACACACAAAAAUGAGAUGAUGUUCGCUUCUGGAGAAGGGAUCAGAAGUGAGAAAAUGAAUAAUGAUUUUUACCCUUUGGAAUUGUCUUUGUGAAUUUACAAAGAAAAAAAAAAAAGAUCAUCGUUUACAGACUGCUCAGUUCAGGCUAAGAAUGCCGAGAGGUAAAAGCCUGGAACACCGUGGCCACUGGGUGUUCACCAGCAGAUGUGCUCGGACAUCAGCAACAAGUUACCCCAGAUUUGUUUACUGCCUUUAGAGAUGUUGCGUUCCUUAUGCACUAUCUCUCAGAACAUAUGUGGGUCAUUAGUCAAGUCACUGGAACAGUACAAAGGUUUUUUGGGUUUGGUUUUGUAUUUUGGC